CCUACGGGAGGCAGCAGUGGGGGAUAUUGCACAAUGGGGGAAACCCUGAUGCAGCAACGCCGCGUGUGGGAAGAAGGUUUUCGGAUUGUAAACCACUGUUCUUAGCGAAGAAACAAAUGACGGUAACUAAGAAGAAAGCUCCGGCUAACUACGUGCCAGCAGCCGCGGUAAUACGUAGGGAGCGAGCGUUGUCCGGAUUUACUGGGUGUAAAGGGUGCGUAGGCGGGCCCGCAAGUCAGACGUGAAAGCCACAGGCUCAACCUGUGAAUUGCGUUUGAAACUGUGGGUCUUGAGUGAAGUAGAGGUAGGCGGAAUUCCCGGUGUAGCGGUGAAAUGCGUAGAGAUCGGGAGGAACACCAGUGGCGAAGGCGGCCUACUGGGCUUUAACUGACGCUGAGGCACGAAAGCGUGGGUAGCAAACAGG
RNAcentral lists this ribosomal RNA (424 nucleotides) under uncultured Enterobacter sp. RNAcentral describes it as "bacterial SSU rRNA". It matches the Rfam family "Bacterial small subunit ribosomal RNA", at positions 338 to 776 of the family's 1533-position model. Lineage: Bacteria; Pseudomonadati; Pseudomonadota; Gammaproteobacteria; Enterobacterales; Enterobacteriaceae. The record is from RNAcentral.